RNAcentral lists this long non-coding RNA (1202 nucleotides) under Betta splendens (Siamese fighting fish). RNAcentral's name for it is "lncRNA (ENSBSLG00000006084.1)". The record is from RNAcentral. Lineage: Eukaryota; Metazoa; Chordata; Actinopteri; Anabantiformes; Osphronemidae.
CCGACUAUAAAUUGAAUUUGAGCACUUAAUUACAGCACAAUAUCAUAAUCAAUAAUCUAAUGUGCUGUGUGUCAUUGUCCUGAAGGUUUCAGGACAAUAAAGAGCAUUAACUUUGACACAAACAAGUCAUUGAGAAGGAAAAUCUGGUGACACAAAGGUUAUGGGAUAAAGUUAGGAGAAAGGCAGAAAGGAAACGAAGGCUGGAGUCAGACUGUCAAAACCGAAGCGAGGCUGGAUAACAUGCAGUCAGCGGAAAGAAGGUAAGUCAGAGGAAGACAGCGAGUGAGGGGCGUCUGAGGGGAAAUUUAUUUAAAACCACUUGGAGGCAGGCGGUUCGGUUUGAUGAUGUCUGUGACAGUAACCGGCUCCAUUAGACAUGAAAAGCAACAUAGCUUCUAAAUGAAACGUACUUGAUCCAACCAGCCACACAGCAUCCAACGAGUCCGGGUCGUGUAACGAGGAGGCGGCGGCCGGGGAAAGCAGCUGCCACGUGCGGCUACAGAGACGGAGGCAGGACCGCAGGACGAGUGGCGGUCAGGUCCAAUUACCGGGAAAAGCAGUGCCUCCGGGCGGAUGACGCAGUAGGUAAACACGCUCUGUGACAGGUGUCAGUGAGAGAGUGGAGGCUGACGAGACUGGAGGAGCGGGGAAGCGUGUUGGUGUGGGUGGAAACGAAGCAAGGGAGGCUCUUCGGCCUUCAAACAUAAAAAUAACUCAUAAUUUAAUUAAUGAAUAAUUAAUCUGUAAUUGAGCCGGCUGUUAUCACACUGUGCCAUCACAGCUAUAACAAUUAACACAGAGCUCUCCAUAAAGGGAGGAGAACAGGCGCUCAGUCAAGUCAAUAUCGGGGCAGAAACUAUUUGAGCAGUGACAUUAUUUUGUUUACAGUCAUGUUUAAAAUUUAGGGGAAUAAAGUCUGGAAUUUUCUUAGAAUUAGAAUUAGAUGAACUGUUUUAAUACAUGUCUAUGCCACUGACAAGAAGGUGAUGAAACUCUGCCGCUGCUUUUGCUUCGGUGGAUUUUCCAAAAUCCUCCAGGGCGACACCUUCUGUCCUUGGGCCCUUAAAGUGAAUGGAAAUGCCUCAGGUUGGUUGUAAAACUAUGUUCAGUUAAGACAAGAAACUUUAAAAAUCCAUUUCAUUCUGUCCUAAACUAAAAACCUCUCCAAUAAACACGAGUGUCCUCGUUAUCCUUAAUGAGAU